GAAAAGGAGAAAGGAGCAAAUGGGGGAGGGACAGGGGAGAGAGGAGAAGGGAGUUUGUAUGUUUGUAUGAUAGGUGCAGUGUAAUGUGUUGUUGUACAGGGUCAGCCAUAGUGGUAUGAUAGGUGUUGUUGUACAGGGUCAGCCAUAGUAGUAUGAUAGGUGUUGUUGUACAGGGUCAGCCAUAGUAGUAUGAUAGGUGUUGUUGUACAGGGUCAGCCAUAGUAGUAUGAUAGGUGUUGUUUUACAGGGUCAGCCAUAGUAGUAUGGUAGGUGUUGUUGUACAGGGUCAGCCAUAGUAGUAUGAUAGGUGUUGUUGUACAGGGUCAGCCAUAGUGGUAUGAUGGGUGUUGUUGUACAGGGUCAGCCAUAGUGGUAUGAUAGGUGUUGUUGUACAGGGUCAGCCAUAGUAGUAUGAUAGGUGUUGUUGUACAGGGUCAGCCAUAGUAGUAUGAUAGGUGUUGUUUUACAGGGUCAGCCAUAGUGGUAUGAUAGGUGUUGUUGUACAGGGUCAGCCAUAGUAGUAUGAUAGGUGUUGUUUUACAGGGUCAGCCAUAGUAGUAUGAUAGGUGUUGUUGUACAGGGUCAGCCAUAGUAGUAUGAUAGGUGUUGUUGUACAGGGUCAGCCAUAGUAGUAUGAUAG
Molecule: long non-coding RNA, 640 nt
Filed under: Salmo salar (Atlantic salmon)
Lineage: Eukaryota; Metazoa; Chordata; Actinopteri; Salmoniformes; Salmonidae
Description: lncRNA (ENSSSAG00000100359.1)
Source: RNAcentral